GACGAACGCUGGCGGCGUGCCUAAUACAUGCAAGUCGAACGCUUCUUUCCUCCCGAGUGCUUGCACUCAAUUGGAAAGAGGAGUGGCGGACGGGUGAGUAACACGUGGGUAACCUACCCAUCAGAGGGGAAUAACACUUGGAAACAGGUGCUAAUACCGCAUAACAGUUUAUGCCGCAUGGCAUAAGAGUGAAAGGCGCUUUCGGGUGUCGUUGAUGGAUGGACCCGCGGUGCAUUAGCUAGUUGGUGAGGUAACGGCUCACCAAGGCCACGAUGCAUAGCCGACCUGAGAGGGUGAUCGGCCACACUGGGACUGAGACACGGCCCAGACUCCUACGGGAGGCAGCAGUAGGGAAUCUUCGGCAAAGGACGAAAGUCUGACCGAGCAACGCCGCGUGAGUGAAGAAGGUUUUCGGAUCGUAAAACUCUGUUGUUAGAGAAGAACAAGGACGUUAGUAACUGAACGUCCCCUGACGGUAUCUAACCAGAAAGCCACGGCUAACUACGUG
Molecule: ribosomal RNA, 508 nt
Filed under: uncultured bacterium
Lineage: Bacteria
Description: partial 16S ribosomal RNA
Rfam family: Bacterial small subunit ribosomal RNA
Source: RNAcentral